This is a long non-coding RNA of Oncorhynchus nerka (sockeye salmon), 1547 nucleotides long. RefSeq lists it as uncharacterized. The record is from RefSeq and is a predicted model, not a curated record. NCBI's taxonomy places the organism in Eukaryota, Metazoa, Chordata, Actinopteri, Salmoniformes, Salmonidae. The transcript is spliced from 3 exons.
GAGCGUUUUUAUUUGGUUUAAACAUGAUUACAAUGAUUACAAAGACAUCUCACCUACGGUGUAUCCUAACAAUAGUACCAUGUUUAACUGUGAAUUGGACAAAGAUAUAAUUUGGAUCAAAAAUAAGGUUUCUUUAGCACUUACACUGGAGAGAGAAGACCCAAGGAAGAUCAUGUGUUUGAAGCAUUGGGAACAACAGAUGAGCUGUCGAUCAGCAAUAGGAUUCAGUGUGUCUUACAAGAUGUGGGAUCCAACAUUACCACACUUCUGUCAUCUGCAAGAGAAAGAUAAGUAAAUAUAUUUCUGCAAAUCCUUUUGUAGAAUCAUUACACACAGUUCACCCCAGCCAGUGGCCUUCUCAUUCUACUCAUACUCUUAUCUCACUCUAUCCAACAGAGAAAAGCAAGUUCAGUUCCCAGCCAUUGGCAGACCUGGAAAGCUGUCUCGACGCAUUCACAGAGGAGCUGCCACCUCUGACAAACUUUAUAUUACCUGAAAGCACCCACUCUGGAUGAAACUUUUCUUUCAUUUCUUUAUUUCUAUUUUUUUAUUUCACCGUUAUUUACCAGGUAGGCCAGUUGAGAACAAGUUCUCAUUUACAACUGCGACCUGGCCAAGAUAAAGCAGUGCGACAAAAACAACAACACAGAGUUACACAUAAACAAACGUACAGUCAAUAACACAAUAGAAAAGAAAAAUAGAAAAAUCUAUGUACAGUGUGUGCAACUGUAGACGAGUAGGGAGGUAGGCAAUAAAUAGGCCAUAGAGGUGAAAAUAAUUACAACUUAGCAUUAAUACUGGAGUGAUAGAUGUGCAGAUGAUGUGCAAGUAGAGAUACUGGGGUGCAAGAGGGUAAGUAAUAAUAUGGGGAUGAGGUAGUUGGGUGUACUAUUUACAGAAUGUCUGUGUACAGAUACAGUGAUCGGUAAGCUGCUCUGACAGCUGAUGCUUAAAGUUAGAGAGGGAAAUAUAAGACUCCAGCGUCAGAGAUUUUUGCAAUUCGUUCCAGUUAUUGGCAGCAGAGAACUGGAAGGAAAGGCGGCCAAAGGAAGUGUUGGCUUUGGGGAUGACCAGUGCAAUAUACCUGCUGGAGCGCAUGCUACGGGUGGAUGUUGCUAUGGUGACCAGUGAGCUGAGAUAAGGCGGGGAUUUACCUAGUGAAGACUUAUAGAUGACCUUGAGCCAGUGGGUUUGGCGAUGGAUAUAUAGUGAGGGCCAGCCAACGAGAGCAUACAGGUCGCAGUGGUGGGUAAUAUAUGGGGCUUUGGUGAUAAAACGGAUGGCACUGUGAUAGACUACAUCCAGUUUUCUGAGUAGUGUUGGGGGCUAUUUAGUAAAUGACAUCGCCGAGGUCAAGGAUCGGUAGGAUAGUCAGUUUUACGAGGGUAUGUUUGGCAGCAUGAGUGAAGGAGGCUUUGUUGCGAAAUAGGAUGCAGAUUACAGAUGUAGUUUUGGAAUGGAGAUGCUUAAUGUGAGUCUGGAAGGAGAGUUUACAGUCUAACCAGACACCUAGGUAUUUGUAGUUGUCCACAUAUUCUAGGUCAGAA